Molecule: ribosomal RNA, 468 nt
Filed under: uncultured bacterium
Lineage: Bacteria
Description: partial 16S ribosomal RNA
Rfam family: Bacterial small subunit ribosomal RNA
Source: RNAcentral
GACGAACGCUGGCGGCGUGCUUAACACAUGCAAGUCGAACGGAAAGGCCCUGCUUUUGUGGGGCGCUCGAGUGGCGAACGGGUGAGUAACACGUGAGUAACCUGCCCUUGACUUUGGGAUAACUUCAGGAAACUGGGGCUAAUACCGGAUAGGAGCUCCUGCUGCAUGGUGGGGGUUGGAAAGUUUCGGCGGUUGGGGAUGGACUCGCGGCUUAUCAGCUUGUUGGUGGGGUAGUGGCUUACCAAGGCUUUGACGGGUAGCCGGCCUGAGAGGGUGACCGGCCACAUUGGGACUGAGAUACGGCCCAGACUCCUACGGGAGGCAGCAGUGGGGAAUAUUGCACAAUGGGCGGAAGCCUGAUGCAGCAACGCCGCGUGCGGGAUGACGGCCUUCGGGUUGUAAACCGCUUUCGCCUGUGACGAGGCGUGAGUGACGGUAAUGGGUAAAGAAGCACCGGCUAACUACGUG